UACGGGGGGGGCAAGCGUUGUUCGGAAUUACUGGGCGUAAAGGGUUCGUAGGUGGCCCGCUAAGUCACACGUGAAAUCCCUCAGCUUAACUGGGGAACUGCGUGUGAGACUGGCAGGCUUGAGUGCAGGAGAGGAACGCGGAAUUCCAGGUGUAGCGGUGAAAUGCGUAGAUAUCUGGAGGAACACCGGUGGCGAAGGCGGCAUCCUGGACCGGCAUUGACGCUGAGGAGCGAAAGCCAGGGGAGCAAACGGG
Molecule: ribosomal RNA, 253 nt
Filed under: uncultured bacterium
Lineage: Bacteria
Description: partial 16S ribosomal RNA
Rfam family: Bacterial small subunit ribosomal RNA
Source: RNAcentral